AGGGGGCUGCUGAGGGAGUUCGUUCCGGGGCUCGAGGGUCUUUUCUCAAGUCUCUCGGGCUGCCUGGCGGGGCUGCAGCGGGGCCGGUCUGUGGCGCAGCUGUGGCACCGGGGCACACCAAGGCAAACCCCUCGCGUUCCUGCCGUUCCCAGCAGUGCCUCCCCGGCCCCUGCAGCGUGCCCGGGACACGCUCAGGGGGCGCAGUGCGAGGUCUCUCGCUUACUUUUGGACUUGGACAGACCUAAUCUGUGAAGAUAAUUAAAGUUCCUUUGCUCUGGAUGCUCUGUGGGAACGAUUUUCUGGCUUGUAGAACAAAGAAGUUGGAACAGAUGACACAGCCAACAUCUGCACCUGGCUCACUGAGGAAGCGAGUAUUUGGCACGGAGCAGAAC
This is a long non-coding RNA of Myiozetetes cayanensis, 392 nucleotides long. RefSeq lists it as uncharacterized. The record is from RefSeq and is a predicted model, not a curated record. The transcript is spliced from 3 exons. Lineage: Eukaryota; Metazoa; Chordata; Aves; Passeriformes; Tyrannidae.